This 384-nucleotide ribosomal RNA is filed under the name uncultured bacterium. Its description in RNAcentral is "partial 16S ribosomal RNA". It matches the Rfam family "Bacterial small subunit ribosomal RNA", at positions 523 to 916 of the family's 1533-position model. The record is from RNAcentral.
AUACGUAGGGGGCGAGCGUUAUCCGGAUUUAUUGGGCGUAAAGCGUGUGUAGGCGGUUUGUUAAGUUUAAGAUUAAAGCCCGAGGCUUGACCUCGGUUCGUCUUAAAAACUGGCAGACUUGAGUGCAGUAGAGGCAAGUGGAAUUUCUAGUGUAGCGGUUAAAUGCGUAGAUAUUAGAAGGAACACCAGUGGCGAAGGCGGCUUGCUGGGCUGUUACUGACGCUGAGACACGAAAGCGUGGGGAGCAAAUAGGAUUAGAUACCCUAGUAGUCCACGCCGUAAACGAUGAGUACUAAGUGUCGGGUAACCGGUGCUGAAGUUAACACAUUAAGUACUCCGCCUGAGUAGUACGGUCGCAAGGCUGAAACUCAAAUGAAUUGACGG